UAUUGCUGACUGUCAUUCCGCAAGCUUCGAUUGUUUGGUUCACUGUUUUACUAAUAUUUAUUUUAGACUCUUGACUGCAUUUGUUGUCCCGCGUUUUGUUAAAUAAUUUUAGUGGUAUGAAAGUUAUGAUUUUCCUGAAAUAGUAACUUCGAGUUUUAGCAUUUCUAUACGUUUAUUUCAAUAAUAAAAAAAAACUUUGCAAAUACUGUAAAUACCUUCAUGUUGCUAAAUAUUUUUUUAAGAACAGCUGUGCUUAAUUGAGUUAAAAAAAUAGCGCGCCAAUGCCAAACGUCGCCGGGAAAACGUCGAUGCUUAAAGUGGAUCGGAAGAGUUUUAUUUGGUGGGACUAUGUUGUUUCUCAGUGCCUUAGCCAUCGGGAUGAUUACUGGCUUACAAAAUGUCACCACGGAGGUGCCGACAACGGAAAGUGACGCAGGGACGACGGCGGUAACUGACGGCAUGGGGUUACUAGAGACGACGAAAUCGUCAGCCGGGCACGACUUCGUAAACGUGACUAUUCAAGAGCGUACAUCGAUGUGGGACUUAUAUCUUAACCACUGCCCCAAGUGGCGUCCGAUAAAUCAUAUAUUUUUUCAAGCAGCCAAUGUGUUCUUCCUGUUAUCAUUCCUAGCACCACAUACACCCACUGGACUAAUUUGGCUGAGAGUGGCCCUGGUACUUGGCUGUGCCUUCUCGGGUCUCUGGGCUUGGAGUAUAGAGUGCUACUUGGAUGCUGUGGUGUGGAACAGUGCAUUUAUAAUUAUUAACUUUGUGUACUUUGCAGUGCAGUUUUAUUUGAUGAGGCCGAUUAAGUUUCAUAAGGAUAUUGAAGAGGUGUACAUAGCAUUGUUCAAACCACUACGGGUGUCCCGAAGGCAGUUCAGGCGCGUGUUGAUGUGUAUGCGCAACGUGAGGCAUCUGAAGUGCCACGAACUGUACGCGCAUGAGAAGGUCACGAAGGUGGACAGCCUCUCUUUAGUGCUGUCUGGAAAGCUUGUGGUGUCGCAGAAUCAGCGCGCUCUUCACAUUGUCUUUCCACACCACUUUCUGGACUCGCCAGAGUGGUUUGGUGUCUCGACGGAUGAAUACUUCCAGGUAUCAAUAAUGGCAAUGGAAGAAUCACGGGUCUUGGUGUGGCAUCGCGACAAACUCAAGCUUUCCAUCAUGUCAGAUGCCUUCCUGCAAGCGGUCUUCGAUCACAUACUCGGUCGGGACGUCGUUCAUAAGUUGAUGCAGGUGAGCGAAACAAUGUCAGUGAGCAAUGGUCACCUUCCGAAUAGCUAUGAGGAGGGGGAGGACAAGCCAAUGCUCGUGGUAAAGAAGGCUGGUGACGGUCCUGGCAUAACCGCACUGUUGAACCGACAGCUACAAGGCGAGCACGCGCCGUUGCUGCGGCCGACGCCCUCCCACGCCUGCUGAACGACGGGAUUUACCUUCAUUACCCCCCAUCCUUACCCUACAUCACUCUUGCUAAAUAAUUUUCAUAUUUUAAUAUAUUCCUGCUUAAUUCAGAAGGCUAUGUUACACACACACGCGCAAUCACAAUCGUGUUCAAUUUAAAAGCUUCUUAUGCCCUUGUUGAAACAAUGAAGUAUACUAAUUUGUCUGAACUAAAAAAGUAAAGCUAUCUCUUUUUCAUGCAUUGGUUUAAAUUGAUAGCAUAAUAUAAUCGAUGCGAUUUGAUCAAUCUCGGUCAUCGACAUUAAAUGUCAAAAUUAAUAUAAAGUGAAUUGUGAUCGCGAAUGUGUUUGACAAAUAGCCGGAAUUAUUAAUAAACGUUAAAUACUUGAUAAAUAUGACAAGACAGCAAUUCAUGACUGUACUGUACCAGUAUUUUUUUUAUUUUAGUUUUAUAUGUAUGAGAACAGUAGCUAGUAGCAAUCAAUAUUUAAUCGAUAACGUUUAUUAAUGAGGUUUUUUUUUUAAUAGUUAUUGCAAUUGCACUAACAUGUAUUGACAGCCGUUAUUUAAGUAUUAAUACGAAUUAAAUUUAAAUAAACAUUAUGUAAUAGUCUUUUACCUUUUGUUGCAUUUAAGAAUUCGUAAAACUUUUAAUGUGUAAUGACGAUUGUCAAUUUAAAAAAUCAUUCCGUCCUUUGGCUCAUCAUACUAUGAUCACGUAAUAAAAGUGUAAAUAUUUUUUUACGUGCUUAGAUAUAGCAAUCUUAAUAAUAGUUUUGAUGUGUAAACAUCUUAGCGCUCGGUACACGGUAGGAUCUAAGAGUUCGAGCGUCAAACAAGUAAGUGUAAGAUCUCGAGCAUCAGAUGACGUUAGCGUAAGAUUUGUUAUUUACACAUCAAUUCUCGUGAGUGGGUGGCACUCACAAGAUUUUUCUAUUCGUUUUAUUAAUAAUAAAUUAUAUACUAUUGCUCAAUUUUACACCGUGAUCUGCUUUAUAUCCCUGUAGUUUGUAUAUUAUAUAAUAACUCACAAGUACCUUUCAUAUAAAUCAGUGUGUCAUAUUAAUAUUUAAUUUUCUACAAAAUAAGGUCGCUUACAAGUCUAUUUACAAAGAAUUAAAAAAGAAUUUAUUGUUUUAUGCAAAUUUAUAAUCUUUUAAAAAAUAACAAGUACAAUUUGUUUGCAUAUGACAUUACCGAUGAGUAUUAUUUUCGUUUUUAACCUAUAAUAAUAGCAUAUACAGCUUGUAGUAUGGAUUUCAGAACGAAAAUAUUAUUUGCAAUGCAAUAUAAACUUUAUUAAAAGUGAUGUCUCUUGUUUCUUUUGCUGUUGUCAGCAAAAUAUUGUUUUCCUGGAAUCCAACACCGCAUACAUUUAUGAUAUCGAUAUAGGAUAGUUCUUUAUGUUGAGGUAUUAACUGUGUGUCUAUUUAAUGAUAUUUAUUUAUAUAUAUAUAUUUGAAGGGUCGAGAUAAACAUGCUUUGCCUAGUCAUUGUUAAUAGAUGCUAUUGUCACAUCGAUGUUGUGCUUUUCCCCGCACCUAGCGCAAGUCACUCGCAUAAUUUAAACGAAACGACACAGCUUCACAUCCACAGAUAAACGAAAAAUUCAACUUGCUUUUUGGUUUGUAGAACAGAUUAUAAAUAAAAAUCAAUCAGUUUAAAUUAAAAUUUAUAAUGUUACUAGUUUAAAUAAGUUAUUGUAAUGACUGAAAAAGUUUCGUAUAUCUUGACCUGACCACGAUGCUUUAAUAAUCUUGUUACCUUCACUUCAAAUGUAAAUUAGGGUUAUGUAAGGUUAUAAUACUAUAAUUAUGAAGCUUUAUAACAUGAAUAAUAUUUUAAUAUUAUCCCUAUUGUCCUUAUCCUAAAUUCCGAAAUCCCAUAGCAUGUUUGGAAGACCAAGAAUUAUCAGCCACAGAUCCAAACGCUUGGCGUCUCGGGAGAAUCGACGAAACUGACCACGAGACGCCCGUUUGAGGGCAAGCACUGCAUCUAGCGGUGCGUCCGAGAAAACGCGACCGCUAGUGCAUUCUAUGCCAUAUUUCAUGGACUUAUGGUCCAAUUGAACUGAUGCUUCGAAAACGUUGCCAUAUGUGGAAGAUAAAUGACGUGCGAACAUGAACUGUGUCAUACGAUUAAGAAGGUUCGAAAUGUCUGUUUUUUUUAAGAAAUUGAAGGUGUCCAUUGAAAAGAAAUUAAGCUGUGUUAUACGUGCGGGAUAUCAAAGUUGUUAUAUAAAUUGUAACUUUAACUUAAUAUGAUGUAAUAAAUAAUGUAAAUGGAUUGAAAACUACCAUGACUAGCUUUCAGGGGCAGAUUAAAAUAGAUCUUUAAAUAAAUUCUUAAGGAUAGAAUAAAACUAACGAUGAAAUUGCUUAUCUUUUGUAAUGGACACUUAUCUAUUGAUCAAAAAGAGCAUGACAAUGUCUUACGAGUUUUAAUUUUUUUACGAAAGUCGACUAUUUUACUAAAAAAGUACGGUAAACUGACAUUUUUAGCAGGCAAUAAUGACGAUAGCUCUAAAUAUACUGAUAAGAGUUAUAAUAUAUAAAUAUUCCGCGCCAAAAAUAGUGUCAGUCUGCUGUUAAAAAAGUGCAGACCAAAUAAAAAAAUGAGUAUAUUUACUAGACCCGUUAGUGUUACAGUGUACGUAUAAUAUAAAGAUAUUUUUUGCGAUAUUAGAAUAGUAGCAAUACGAACGGUCACAAAUAAACCAGAAUUAUUUUGUGUAUAAUAUUUAUAUAGAUAGAAAUUAACUAAUCGAUGACGAGAGUUUCUUCAGCAAUUUUUUAUAAGUGCAUUCUCAAUAACUGCCUUUUAAAACUUAUUAAAAGUUAUACACUUCAUAUAUAAAACCUCAUGUCCUGAAUCUCUUAAAUUAUAAAUAAUUGUUUUUCUUCGAUAAUAACUCCUGGCAUGAAAUAUUAUAGCGACUGCACUUAUAAAAAACAAAUAUCGUUUAAGAAUUUUGCAGAGUAUCUUGUUAUAUGCUUAUAAAUAGUGUAUCAGAAAUACUGUAAAUAAAAUUAAAUGGGAACUGUGUGUACAAAGUAAAUCGAUUCUAGCUUAAAAUGUAAGGAAUUUAAUCCGUUUAAUGAAAUUAUAAACUCGCAGGUAUUUAUCGAAAUUGUCAGUUUAAAAUAAUAUAAGUAAACAUGUAUAAAAUAAUUUAUAUUAAUUUGAACGCACAAAAAAACAAUUGCUGAUUUAGGGUCCGUUCACACAGACCGGCUCGGAGAGCAUCGGCCUGCUUUUUUCUUUUCACACAGACCGGGUCGUAUACGCUUGGAAUUGGCCGGAGCGGAGCCGCCAACUAUUUCACAUCGACCGGCUGGAAGAGAUCUGAAAGCGGGUGCGAGCGAGAAAGAGCACGCAAGCGGAGCCGGUCGGCUCCUUUUAUUACUUCACACGAAGCGCGUUCAGGCAUUUUUAAUGACAAAAAAGGUGCAAAUGCAAAAAUAAACUUUACUACAAUCACUCAAAACACUGUUUCCAACGUGAUAAAAAUCUGCUCUCCUCUCCGAGCCGGUCUGUGUGAACGGACCCUUACACAUGAUCAUGAUACAUAUACAUGAAAAAAAAAACAGAAAUUAGAAUAAUUUGUAAGAAACUUAAAAAUUCCUAAAUUAGGAUAGUAAUAUUUGUACAGAAUAGAUUCCAGACAUUGUGAAUGAAUAAUUUUAUUUUUGGUUCUAUGUUAGUACAUUCGAAAAUAGUUUGGAUACUUGUAAUGACAUUUGAUUUUUUUAUGCUUUAUUUUUGUUUCGUUCCAUUAAAAAGAAAACGAACUUUUUAAUGAAAAAAAUGAAUAAAUAAAACAAAGCUAACUAUAAUAGACUAUUAUAAUUGAAAGUAAUGUAUAAAUUAGACACACAUUCCUUUUUUUAGCAUUAUUGAUUGGUAUGAAUUGUUAAUACUAAUAGAAAUGACUAAAAGAUUAGAUUUGAAAUAAUUUCAUCAUUUUCUAUAAUAUAAAAAAAAACGAAAAUUACUAAACUUUAACUCUCUUACUCAAACAAUAAAGAGUUAUGUUCUAUGAAAACCAAUCAUAACUUAUUUUUAUAUAUAUUUUUAAAAACAUUUAUCUGAAAGACAAGUAAUUUCGUGUAAAAUUAUAAAUGCACUGCCAUUGCUAUAUAUAGAUUAAAAUUUAAUUUGUGAAAAAUUAAAUAAUAAAAAUAUAAGUACAUAAGUGAUCGUAUAAUAAUGUGAAAAUAAGGAUCUCGAUGUAACUUUGUUUACUUAUCUGUAAUAAAUAUUUGUUAUGUCACAAACACAUCCCCCAUCAAUUCAAGGCUAAGAAUAUUUUAAACAUUUAUACUGAAAAUUCAUAGAAAUAAGUAUGUUUUUGAGUUUUAAGAUAUUAUUUGUUUGCUAUUUGUGAAUAUCUUGCUAUUUAUAUGGAAUUGAAGCUCUUGAAGUGACUUCUUAUUUUACCCGUUACUUCUGAACAAACAAAUGUUAUUACAGAUUUGUUACUUGCCUUGAAGAAUGUAUGAACACCCGGAGUGUUUGCAUUGAUUGCUACACAAAGCAAGGCAUGGAUGCUGGGCUUUUGUGAGCUUUAGAAGGCCUUACCGAAUUGCCAUUUGUGAUGUUUGUAAAUUUUGAAUGUGUAAUUAUAUCAUUGUAGUACACGUUGAAAUGAAUAGAGAUAAAAAAUAAAAUAAUGAAUUGUGUAAAAA
Molecule: RNA transcript, 6089 nt
Organism: Nymphalis io (European peacock)
Lineage: Eukaryota; Metazoa; Arthropoda; Insecta; Lepidoptera; Nymphalidae
Gene name: blood vessel epicardial substance-like
Exons: 7
Source: RefSeq, a predicted model, not a curated record